CAGGCUUAACACAUGCAAGUCGAGGGGCAGCAUGGUCUUAGCUUGCUAAGGCCGAUGGCGACCGGCGCACGGGUGAGUAACACGUAUCCAACCUGCCGUCUACUCUUGGACAGCCUUCUGAAAGGAAGAUUAAUACAAGAUGGCAUCAUGAGUCCACAUGUUCACAUGAUUAAAGGUAUUCCGGUAGACGAUGGGGAUGCGUUCCAUUAGAUAGUAGGCGGGGUAACGGCCCACCUAGUCUUCGAUGGAUAGGGGUUCUGAGAGGAAGGUCCCCCACAUUGGAACUGAGACACGGUCCAAACUCCUACGGGAGGCAGCAGUGAGGAAUAUUGGUCAAUGGGCGAGAGCCUGAACCAGCCAAGUAGCGUGAAGGAUGACUGCCCUAUGGGUUGUAAACUUCUUUUAUAAAGGAAUAAAGUCGGGUAUGCAUACCCGUUUGCAUGUACUUUAUGAAUAAGGAUCGGCUAACUCCGUGCCAGCAGCCGCGGUAAUACGGAGGAUCCGAGCGUUAUCCGGAUUUAUUGGGUUUAAAGGGAGCGUAGAUGGAUGUUUAAGUCAGUUGUGAAAGUUUGCGGCUCAACCGUAAAAUUGCAGUUGAUACUGGAUAUCUUGAGUGCAGUUGAGGCAGGCGGAAUUCGUGGUGUAGCGGUGAAAUGCUUAGAUAUCACGAAGAACUCCGAUUGCGAAGGCAGCCUGCUAAGCUGCAACUGACAUUGAGGCUCGAAAGUGUGGGUAUCAAACAGGAUUAGAUACCCUGGUAGUCCACACGGUAAACGAUGAAUACUCGCUGUUUGCGAUAUACAGCAAGCGGCCAAGCGAAAGCGUUAAGUAUUCCACCUGGGGAGUACGCCGGCAACGGUGAAACUCAAAGGAAUUGACGGGGGCCCGCACAAGCGGAGGAACAUGUGGUUUAAUUCGAUGAUACGCGAGGAACCUUACCCGGGCUUAAAUUGCAGAUGAAUUACGGUGAAAGCCGUAAGCCGCAAGGCAUCUGUGAAGGUGCUGCAUGGUUGUCGUCAGCUCGUGCCGUGAGGUGUCGGCUUAAGUGCCAUAACGAGCGCAACCCUUGUUGUCAGUUACUAACAGGUCAUGCUGAGGACUCUGACAAGACUGCCAUCGUAAGAUGUGAGGAAGGUGGGGAUGACGUCAAAUCAGCACGGCCCUUACGUCCGGGGCUACACACGUGUUACAAUGGGGGGUACAGAGGGCCGCUACCACGCGAGUGGAUGCCAAUCCCAAAAACCUCUCUCAGUUCGGACUGGAGUCUGCAACCCGACUCCACGUAGCAGGAUUCGCUAGUAAUCGCGCAUCAGCCACGGCGCGGUGAAUACGUUCCCGGGCCUUGUACACACCGCCCGUCAAGCCAUGGGAGCCGGGGGUACCUGAAGUGCGUAACCGCGAGGAGCGCCCUAGGGUAAAACUGGUGACUGGGGCUAAGUC
RNAcentral lists this ribosomal RNA (1440 nucleotides) under uncultured organism. RNAcentral describes it as "16S ribosomal RNA". It matches the Rfam family "Bacterial small subunit ribosomal RNA". The record is from RNAcentral.